GCCGCUCCUCGAUCUCCCCUCGCACUGCCUCCUCCCUCGCCUUCGCCGCCCCACCUCCGGCCGUCUCCUCCUUCACCUCCGCCUCAAACCUCUCUCCUCCUCCUCCUACACCACCACCACCACCACCACCACCAGUAGCUCCACCUCCUCCUCGCGAGCGCCUCAAGUUCCACCUAGUCUCCAUGGCCCCUCGCUCCGCCGCGGCCGCCGCCUGCCCGGCGAAACUGACGGCCUGCUCUCCUUC
RNAcentral lists this long non-coding RNA (244 nucleotides) under Oryza sativa (Asian cultivated rice). Its description in RNAcentral is "long non-coding RNA (OSAT_LNC000552)". Lineage: Eukaryota; Viridiplantae; Streptophyta; Magnoliopsida; Poales; Poaceae. The record is from RNAcentral.